CCUACGGGUGGCAGCAGUGGGGAAUAUUGGGCAAUGGGCGCAAGCCUGACCCAGCAACGCCGCGUGAAGGAAGAAGGCUUUCGGGUUGUAAACUUCUUUUCUGAGGGACGAAGAAAGUGACGGUACCUCAGGAAUAAGCCACGGCUAACUACGUGCCCGCAGCCGCGGUAAUACGUAGGGGGCAAGCGUUAUACGGAUUCAUUGGGUGUAAAGGGCGUGUAGGCGGGACAGCAAGUCAGAAGUGAAAACGCAGGGCUCAACCCUGAGACUGCAUGUGAAACGGUUUUUCUAGAGUGCUGGGGAGGCAAGCGGAAGUCCGGGUGUAGCGGUGAAAUGCGUAGAUAUCCGGAGGAAAACCAGGGGCGAAGGCGGCUUACUGGACAGUAACUGACGCUGAGGCGCGAAAGCGUGGGGAGCAAACAGGAUUAGAUACCCCUGUAGUC
This 443-nucleotide ribosomal RNA is filed under the name uncultured bacterium. Its description in RNAcentral is "partial 16S ribosomal RNA". It matches the Rfam family "Bacterial small subunit ribosomal RNA", at positions 338 to 795 of the family's 1533-position model. The record is from RNAcentral.